CGGGGUCCGGGGCAGAGCAGCCGUGGCUGGUGAUAACAGGGCUGUGUGCCCGGGUCUCCUGCUCCCCGCCACCCCCUGCGCUCUGCAACCUGGGCAGAGCCGCGCAACCGGCUCCUGCCUGAUGGGGGCUGGCCGCUGCCCGUGGGAGAGCGGCAGGGACAUGCUCUCCGCUGAGCCCGCUCCCCCCGUCCCACUGCACCCGGUCAGAGAACAAAGGACAGUCAGGAUCCAGCCCAGGACACUGCCUCAGGUACAGUGCAGUACACCAUUGGCUUUAGAAGGCUCACCAAAGUAGAACACUACUGGAUCUGCUCAAGGGUGAUGGCCACUAUUGGAGACAGGAUACUGGACUAGAUGGACCUUGGAUCUGAUCCAGUCUGACAAUUCCUAUGUUCCUGUGUAAAAGUGAAGGAAUAAGGAUAGCGUGAUUAGACUUAUCACCUCCUUUGAGUGUGCUCAGUUGUCUUAGUCAUUGUGUUAGGGGUUUUUCUUAAGCUAGGCUAGAUGGCAUAGAAAUCCCCAAGAAACUACAGGUUUGAACCCCCUCCCGCAUCUGUCAUUGGGGCUUGACAGAAAACUGACACAUAGGUAAGGUGCAAACACAAACAAUUUGUUAAAAGAAGGACCCCCAAACUAUUAAACAAAUAAACAAAACCACUCAGUCAUUGAACUAACAAAGGCGUUAAGCUAGGAACCCAAAAAGGUACACACAGUGGAAUAAAAGGUAUAACAAAAGAUUAACUACAUCACCAUGUUCUCAGGUGAGGAUCACAUGGACACAGGAACAGAGCUGGAACAGGAGACCAUGACAGCUGGGACCGACGAGAACACAGGAUACAACAGGAUGGGUCUUUAGGUGGAACAGGUAGGUAGACAUUCAGGUAGGCUCAUCUUCUUCCACCAGGUGUUCCGAUGCUUUGCGUCAUCCUGUGUGGGUGUAUGCGGAUGCUAGUCUGACUAGAUGUUCUGUCAGGUGAGCAGGAGCAAUGCGAUAGCAGAUGGAACAAUGAUGGGCACUGGUUGCCUCUUAGACAGCAACUCAGGAGUGUGCUGCUCAGCCUUAAAUAUUUUCUUGUUGCCAGGUGGAUUAGAGGGUCAGAUGACCCUUACCUUUCUCACCUUUGCCAAAAAGGGCACCAAACUGGGCAACAAGAAGGACACCCAAUAUGGAGGAACAACAACGACUCCGUAAAUUCAAAAUGGCUAACUGAGGGAAAAAUCAUAAAACAGAAAAAUUCUCUACAGUUGGUGUGACAGCUAACAUAUGAGGACAGGCUCAUGUGUGCUACUGCAGUAAGUUCUGUCUCUGCAAUAAUAAUAUGGGUUUGCUGUCAAAUUACAGAAUCAGGAUAUUUAACACUCUUUGGAUGAUGAAUUAGGAUCAUGGCCUGGGAAUCUUUGGCCUAGAGUCUCCAUUGCUCAAAUUAUGGAGCUUGAAUUUUGUUGUACUUUUUUGCCUGUUACUUUUCAGAUAGUUCAGGAAUAUAAAAGAAUUUGUUAACAACAGCAAUGUGUGUACCAUGCAAGAUGCAACUGUGAUACAUCUCCAUAUUACCAGCUUUGUGAUCCUGCAGGACUUCCUUUUCCCAGAUGCAUUUGCAAAUGUUUGUUUUACAUUUAUACAAUCCAGUGAAAAGAAUGAUCCUGAAACAAAAUGAUGAAGUGUACCUAUCUAAGAAGUCAAUUGCAAAGGGGGAAUGGUUUAUACACAGAAUAGUCUGUCCAAGAUGCUAUCAGUCCACACAUCUGUAUUCAUUACAGCUAUUUAAUUAUUUUCUUAAAAACACAUACAAAUUAUUUCUAGGAGAGAAGAAUGUUUUAAUCAAGUCAUAAGUCAGGAAAUAUGAACUUUAUUAUUGAUUAAACAUUUGAAAAGGAUUUUCUCAAUAAAGCAAACCACAUUUCCUGUCCUCUUUUUCUUUUGUGUUUUCAUUAAACAGUUGAAUGUCUGAAUCUUAUUGUAUAUUGCAUUUUCUUUUUAUUACUUUAUAUUACAUUGUUGUGUUCAUAGACAAUGAUAUAAUUGCCUU
Long non-coding RNA from Gopherus flavomarginatus (Mexican gopher tortoise), 2030 nucleotides. RefSeq lists it as uncharacterized. The record is from RefSeq and is a predicted model, not a curated record. Lineage: Eukaryota; Metazoa; Chordata; Testudines; Testudinidae. The transcript has 3 exons.